GUUUCUGUUAAGUCUAGUAAAUAUAGGGAACAAGAGAUGAAGAGGUCGUGGACAGCAGUGGAUUUUGUAAUAUUGCAAACAAAGAGUGUAUUCCAGAGAGCAGUAUUGAAGGAGGAUUUAGAGGAAGAGUAACGUGACAUGGGUAUGAGAUUGGUGUGGUUCCUUGAGUUAGUAGGUGGUGAGUUUGCUGAGAUGGGACCGGGGUUUGGAGAGACAUCGACCAGCUGCUAGGAGCAGUAGGAUAGAAAGGAAGUGAAGGUGGGAGUAGAAUUUGAAGGUUUUGUAGGAGGGUAUGUGCAUAGAGGAUUUGGGAGGAGUUGGAG
This is a non-coding RNA of Pelobates cultripes (western spadefoot toad), 323 nucleotides long. Lineage: Eukaryota; Metazoa; Chordata; Amphibia; Anura; Pelobatidae. The record is from the annotation of a GenBank genome assembly.